UGGAUAUAUAAGCCAGCUCCUGAGGGUGUUUAAGUAAAUUAACUUUUCGUGUCCACUUGAAAAAGUCAAUUAUACCCUCUCUACUCUUACUCUCAAUCCCUUCGGAUCUCUCAAACCCUUCUCGCCUACUUUCUCCCUCCGCCGCUUCUUCACUCUCGCCUACUUUCUCUCUCCUCCCUUUACUCAAUCUCUCAUCUUCGAUCUCUCCUCCCUUCACUCAAUCUCCUUCACUCAAUCUCUCCUCCCUUCCGUCAAUCUCUCAUCUUCGAUCUUUCCUCAAAUCCGACGAAUGGAACUUCAUCAUCUCAACGGGUUUCUCUUUAAAAUCUCAGAAGCCUCAAAUUUGGGUUUUUAUAAAAAUCGAAGCUUUCUACAAUCUUCAAGAUACCCAGAUUACAAAGUUGGUGAUUAUGCAAUUUUUGAUUCUGGAAUUCAUCUUUUCUGUACCUGAAACUCGGGGAACUCCUGAUUAUGCUAAAGAUGAAGACCCUGCUAAUGGAAGAAGAUAC
Long non-coding RNA from Spinacia oleracea (spinach), 509 nucleotides. RefSeq lists it as uncharacterized. Lineage: Eukaryota; Viridiplantae; Streptophyta; Magnoliopsida; Caryophyllales; Amaranthaceae. The transcript has 3 exons. The record is from RefSeq and is a predicted model, not a curated record.